This 151-nucleotide small nuclear RNA is filed under the name Nicotiana attenuata. Its description in RNAcentral is "snRNA U1". The record is from RNAcentral. Lineage: Eukaryota; Viridiplantae; Streptophyta; Magnoliopsida; Solanales; Solanaceae.
GUACUUAGUUGGACGACGUAAAUGAACAAUUAAAAAGGUUCAUCAUGUCGGUUGAUAAUUUCAAUUUCACUUUAGAGGAAGAGGGAUGUCUCUGAUAAACUAAAGCGAUCAAGUCUGCAUCAUAAUUAUUGAUAUGACAUUUUUUCUGUCU